UACGAAGGGGGCUAGCGUUGCUCGGAAUCACUGGGCGUAAAGCGCACGUAGGCGGAUUGCUAAGUCAGGGGUGAAAUCCUGGAGCUCAACUCCAGAACUGCCUUUGAUACUGGCGACCUUGAGUCCGGGAGAGGUGAGUGGAACUUCGAGUGUAGAGGUGAAAUUCGUAGAUAUUCGCAAGAACACCAGUGGCGAAGGCGGCUCACUGGCCCGGUACUGACGCUGAGACGCGAAAGCGUGGGGAGCAAACAGG
Molecule: ribosomal RNA, 253 nt
Filed under: uncultured bacterium
Lineage: Bacteria
Description: partial 16S ribosomal RNA
Rfam family: Bacterial small subunit ribosomal RNA
Source: RNAcentral